GAUGAACGCUAGCGGCAGGCUUAAUACAUGCAAGUCGAACGGUUAGUGUAGUAGCAAUAUUAUACGAGAGUGACGUACGGGUGCGUAACACGUAUGCAACCUACCUUGUACAGGAGGAUAGCUCGGGGAAACUCGAAUUAACCCUCCAUGAGAUCACAGUGUGGCAUCACAUAGUGAUUAAAACUCAGGUGGUACAAGAUGGGCAUGCGUCUGAUUAGAGUUGGCGGGGUAACGGCCCACCAAGACGAUGAUCAGUAGGGGACCUGAGAGGGUGAUCCCCCACACUGGCACUGAGAUACGGGCCAGACUCCUACGGGAGGCAGCAGUAGGGAAUAUUGGUCAAUGGAUGGAAGUCUGAACCAGCCAUGCCGCGUGCGAGGAAGAAGGCGUUAUGCGUUGUAAACUGUCUUUUGCCGAGGGGAAUAAAAAAUCUGUGCGCAGAUAAUUG
This 448-nucleotide ribosomal RNA is filed under the name uncultured bacterium. RNAcentral describes it as "bacterial SSU rRNA". It matches the Rfam family "Bacterial small subunit ribosomal RNA", at positions 28 to 471 of the family's 1533-position model. The record is from RNAcentral.